CGUCGCAUGCUUUUGCAAAAAGACCCUUCACUUUUUCGAAAAUUGAACCCGCACUCCCUACGUAAGUGGCUCUGGGGAAAACGAUUCGGUAAAAAAAAUCCCUUUCGCGUAUCCUCUGUUUCUUGGUAUUCAGACCGGCAGUUGGAGGCGGCCGCGGCGAACGGGGCGGACGAGGUGGCGGAGCAGGGGCCCCGGCGAGUGGGGAGCUGGAGGCACAGCGCAUCCGGCGCCGCACGGGGACUACGAGCCGGCGGCGCACCUGUCACCGACCAGCGCAGACCCCAAGGCCGUGCCGACGAGGAAGGAGAGAAUCAGGAUGAGGAGGAUGUCGCUGCGGCAGCGAAGGUAGCCAGCAGCCUGAUGAAGCAUCUACGGCCCAGCUUCUCCGGCGCGCCAUCCGGAGAUGGGACGGACGAUCGAGGCGAAGGACGAUGGAGAGGUGGUCGGAGGCGGCGAGCUCCAAGGCAGGCGAGUUGAUGCGGUUCCAGAUGGACGACGGCUUCGCGGGCGGCUGGGCCGAAUCAGCUGCCGUGGCCCAAGCGCGGACGAACGUGCGUUCCUCUCGUCGUCGUCCUCCCGACGGCAGGCCAGGCAGGCGGCAAGAGCUUCUCCGUUCUCCUUGGCGACCUCAAGGUCCCGCUCUUCGGGGUGCUGCUCCAGCAAAGCAGCAGCACGCGCCUCGAAUGGCAGGGGCGGCCGCCGUGGUUUGAGGACGUGCUGCGGGCGUCGACGGCUACCGCGCCCCGGAGGUGGUGGACGCGCGGCGACACUCUCUGGGCGUGCUCUUGCUGGAUCUGCUCAACGGCAAGUCCUCGACGCACGCGUCGCUGCAGGAUGGCGACGACGGCACGCUGGACCUGCCGCGGUUGGUGCAGUCGGUGGUGCGCGAGGAGUGGACGACCGAGGUGAUUGGCGUGGAGCUGGUGCGGCUAGGCGCCGCGCCGAGGAGAAGAUGGACUCGCUACCGCUGGCACCGGCGAAGCUACGACAUAGCACGCCGCUGGCCUGGCCAGCACCGGCGCUCCGCACACAUCCCUGCCUGACGGCCCUCCAUCACAUAGAUACACAAACACAACAGCGAGCUUCAGUUAUCUGAAUUUUCGGUGCAGUGUCGUGAUUUGGAUGGACGCCCGAACACAACAGCGAGGCCAGCUUCAGUUCUCUGAAUCUUCAGUGCAGUGUCGUGAUUUGGAUGGAAUUGGAGACCGUGUCCUUCUCCAACAUAAGUUAAUUUCCAAUGUAAUCGAAUUUGAGUCUCUGUUCUUCUCCAAGGCAAAAGCAUGUAGUACCCGACCCGGAUUGGACUUGGCUGUCAUAAGGAGGGAUCCUCGACCGGAACGUCCAUCAUGCCAUGUCCCUCGACCAGAAUCUCCAUCAAAUCCCAUCACAUUGCAACUUUCAGAGGAACAUCCAAUGUCGCUGGCGGAGGAAAAUCAUCCGUCCAGCCAUACUAUGCCGAGUUCGCCGGCGGAAGAAGAACACCCAUCGAGCCCUCCAUCGCCUGAGGCGGCUACACAAAGUGAUGGGAGGUAGAUUGAGCUGAUAAAUUUCUGCACCCACCUUGAGGUCCAUAACGUUCUCCUAAUUAUAUGCAGCCCAAUUCGUAUAGAUGUAUUUGUUUGAGGGAGAGGACUAUCUGUGAUCAGAAGCAACAGUAUGUGAUCAUCAUGUGUGCGAGAGAUGGCAGGAGUAUGUGAUAUGUAUUUCUGUGUACACUACUAAUAUGUAUUGACUGUUCAUGUUGGUACAGUAGGUUCAUGAUUGCUUAUGGAAACAAUAAAAUUACUUGAGGAGGAUUUUAUGAGUAUGUACUUUGAGACUUGAGAGGCUGUUAUUGACAUGGAUUCUCCGUCUACUAGAGAGGCUGAUGUCAAAUCAACAUUGGAACAAGGGCAAUAGAAGUGGAAUGAGGAGAAGGUUGUUAGCUCGUCGUGUGGUCGAUUUGGUUUCUGGAAAUUCUUUCGCAUACUAUGUUUGAGAGCUUUUGUUCUUGAGUUCUUCUGGUGGAGGGAAUCAGAAGUGAUUCUUCUGCAAUGUGAGGAGAUCUCCAAAUCAAGCCAGCCUCCAAGAGAAGACAACAAGUAGUACAUCUCUACCCAGACGAGCUGAAUCUGAACGACUCAUAUUAUCAUGUUACCGUGUACCAGUCCGGCAGAUGUGCAAGUGCAACUACAUUGGUUGAGUGUAAGGCAGACUGAUUCAUCUGCGUGAAGCCAGUAUGACAAGGCUAAGUGUACACAAGGUAAAAAAACACAAUAAAUAUGGCCCCUUGAUAUUUCUGUUUAUGGGUUGUUUUUAGGGGAGCUCAUAGUUUAGCAGUUCUCUUCUGUGCUAAUCUGAAUUGUAGGUGGCCCAUUGUUUAAUUGCUCAUGCACAUUAUUAAUUGUGGUUUGCAUCGUCAAUCUGCACUUUGGUAGGAGCACUUAGGAGUUCCUGACUAUUCUCUGGGCAACCUCCUAUAUUUUAUAGUAGUUCAACUUAGCCUUUAUUUGUGGCAAACCAUGAUUCUGUACUACACCUUGGAAUCUUUUUUAGCUGAUUUAUUAUGCAAAGUACAGUAGUAACUUUGUUUGGAUCUGAACUUAUAUCACUCUAAGAACUUCUACAUAGAAUGAUUUAUCAUCACUAGAAUAUUUAUACCCCGUUUUAAUGCACGGGCAUGUUUUCUUGCAAAAUUUAUUUUAAAUGUUUUUGCUGGUUGAUUAUGUUUGGAGUUCCUUUCUUUGUUAUUAUCUUCAUUGCAUUGGCAGUUUCUUUUAUCCGGUACCAAUUUUUGUGGUUAUAUAUGCUUUACUUAUUCACUUAGAAUAUCAAUGUCUUAUCGGUGAAUCGGUUCACUUGCACAAGGAUCUUGCCAAAACAUCAAGUUUCCCGAACAUAAAAAUUAUGUCAUUUCGGUGGAACAAAGAAUUAAUCUCUAGCACGGUGAAACAAAUAAUUUAUCUCUAGCACUAAAAUUAUGUUUCUUACUAACAAGAAUGUACAACUGCAGUAUUUUUAUUAUGUUACGACUAAUCGUUGGGUUGCUCCAUUAGCAAGAAGUCAAUUUGUCAGUGGAAACAUAGCUGCAAGGAUGCGAUAUUUCAACUUUGAGGUUACUUAAGCUUUUGGAUUUCAGAUUUAAUUGCCAUCAUGAAACUGGUAUGCAAUGGAGCUGCACUUGCAUGCACAUGCUGAUUUCUAAAUAUCGCACAGUACUAUAGUUGUGAUCCUCUAAAUAGCUUAUUUUUUAGCACAGUCUUGCGGAAUAGUUACAGUGAACAAAAAGCUUGCAUUUGAUUGAUUUGAUUUGUUAGUUUUUUGAAUGGCGCUGCCCCUAUUAGGCUAAGUAGAAGCACUAUACCGGGACUAAAGUACAUCAGGUUACCUUUCAUGAGGUCUGUGGAAUUUUUGUAAUUUGUGGUAUUGGUAUUUUUGGAAUUAUUCUGGGUACAAGGAAAGAAGUGACAGAGAACUGCAAUUUUUUUGUGGUAAAAUUUACUGAAAUUGGUGUUUCUUUUCAAGAUUAUAUUACUGUUUGCCCAUUUGAUCCUUGGAUGAUCUACUAAUUUUCUUUUCUAUUACUUGCGGAUAAUUUGCUUCAGUUCAUCAAAUUACCUGGGGAAACAUACUCAUUGUUUAUCUAAAGAUAUAUUGGGCAUCAGUCCACCUGUCAUGAGGUCUCUAAACUUUUUAGGCAUGUUUAUUUUCUGAAUAAUUUAUUGGAGAUACUAUGCUUGGACUCACAAAUGCACGUAGUGCUUCCACUAGAGGGAUGUUCUUCAUUUUUUCUGUGUUAUUCCUCUUUCAAGUUUUUGGUCCUUGAAAAGUAAUAGUACUUGCUAGGUUUCUAGCUUUACUUUUUUUGUAGUACAAGCUAAAUGUAUAUGCCUGAAUUUACAUAUCGGAGUGUUUGAGUUGAUUAAGGGUAUGAGAGAGAACAAUUUUCAUUCUCAAACAACACCCGACAUCAUUAAUUUUCUUAUUUACCAAUUGAAACACGAGGCAAUAAUAGCAGAACUUAAGUGUGUGAACAUAUCAAUAUAAAAUGAUUGGCCGGAUUAUGUUUUUUAUGCAUUCUAGAAGUGGCAUUUCCGUGAAAUUACAAACUAGCUUUACAUUUUUCUCGGAACAUUUUGUGAAAUUUUAUUGGAGAAUAUUUUUCUCUUUUUCCAUCGUUCGUUGCCCAUUCGUCCCAUUCUGCUCC
Long non-coding RNA from Triticum aestivum (bread wheat), 4186 nucleotides. RefSeq lists it as uncharacterized. The transcript has 3 exons. Lineage: Eukaryota; Viridiplantae; Streptophyta; Magnoliopsida; Poales; Poaceae. The record is from RefSeq and is a predicted model, not a curated record.